UACGUAGGGUGCGAGCGUUAAUCGGAAUUACUGGGCGUAAAGCGUGCGUAGGCGGUUCCUCAAGUCCGUUGUGAAAGCCCCGGGCUCAACCUGGGAAUGGCAGUGGAAACUAGGGGACUGGAAUCUGGCAGAGGGGGGUGGAAUGCCGCGUGUAGCAGUGAAAUGCGUAGAGAUGUGGAGGAACACCGAUGGCGAAGGCAGCCCCCUGGGCUGAGAUUGACGCUCAGGCACGAAAGCGUGGGGAGCAAACAGG
Molecule: ribosomal RNA, 253 nt
Filed under: uncultured bacterium
Lineage: Bacteria
Description: partial 16S ribosomal RNA
Rfam family: Bacterial small subunit ribosomal RNA
Source: RNAcentral